Molecule: ribosomal RNA, 905 nt
Filed under: uncultured bacterium
Lineage: Bacteria
Description: bacterial SSU rRNA
Rfam family: Bacterial small subunit ribosomal RNA
Source: RNAcentral
ACACAUGCAAGUCGAGGGGAAACGACAUCGAAAGCUUGCUUUUGAUGGGUGUCGACCGGCGCACGGGUGAGUAACGCGUAUCCAACCUGCCCACCACAUGGGGAUAACCUUGCGAAAGUAAGACUAAUACCCAAUGAUAUCUCUAGAAGACAUCUGAAAGAGAUUAAAGAUUUAUCGGUGAUGGAUGGGGAUGCGUCUGAUUAGCUUGUUGGCGGGGUAACGGCCCACCAAGGCGACGAUCAGUAGGGGUUCUGAGAGGAAGGUCCCCCACAUUGGAACUGAGACACGGUCCAAACUCCUACGGGAGGCAGCAGUGAGGAGUAUUGGUCAAUGGACGAGAGUCUGAACCAGCCAAGUAGCGUGCAGGAUGACGGCCCUAUGGGUUGUAAACUGCUUUUAUAAGGGAAUAAAGUGAGUCUCGUGAGACUUUUUGCAUGUACCUUAUGAAUAAGGACCGGCUAAUUCCGUGCCAGCAGCCGCGGUAAUACGGAAGGUCCGGGCGUUAUCCGGAUUUAUUGGGUUUAAAGGGAGCGUAGGCCGGAGAUUAAGCGUGUUGUGAAAUGUAGACGCUCAACGUCUGCACUGCAGCGCGAACUGGUUUCCUUGAGUACGCACAAAGUGGGCGGAAUUCGUGGUGUAGCGGUGAAAUGCUUAGAUAUCACGAAGAACUCCGAUUGCGAAGGCAGCUCACUGGAGCGCAACUGACGCUGAAGCUCGAAAGUGCGGGUAUCGAACAGGAUUAGAUACCCUGGUAGUCCGCACGGUAAACGAUGGAUGCCCGCUGUUGGUCUGAAUAGGUCAGCGGCCAAGCGAAAGCAUUAAGCAUCCCACCUGGGGAGUACGCCGGCAACGGUGAAACUCAAAGGAAUUGACGGGGGCCCGCACAAGCGGAGGAACAUGUGGUU